RNAcentral lists this long non-coding RNA (816 nucleotides) under Chrysolophus pictus (golden pheasant). RNAcentral describes it as "lncRNA (ENSCPIG00010012785.1)". Lineage: Eukaryota; Metazoa; Chordata; Aves; Galliformes; Phasianidae. The record is from RNAcentral.
GGGAACCAUCGGAUCUCCCUCUGAAUUUCUAGAACUCCGUGUUCCUGCUUGUUCCAACAAUAACAAAGGAAAAGGCCUUUCUUUGGUGGCAUUUUGGCUUUCUGCUGCAGUGAAUCAUGGAGAGUGAGAAGCCUUUCCCAAGAUGACUCCAAACGUGGAGAGGACAGCAGAGAGCCUGCCACGGGGGGCUGUACUGGAGAGGAAGACAGCUGCCAGUUCAUUGCCUGCUGGAGCCUCUGGAGGGACUUGGGGAGCCCAGGAAGAUUCCUACUGUGAGUUGUCCAUCUCAGGGAUGAUAUCUCUGAGAAAAUGGCCAUCCCACAAAGACCUUGGCCCAAACUGUGACCUGCAAAGCAGCCUCCUGACUCCUCUUCUGGACAACCAGAUAAGCAUCCACAGCCUGCAGCACAUCAUUCCCCAGAAUUAUUGAGUUCUACACUGUCUUUUUAGUGAAAAAUCUUCAGGAAUUGCUGACUGGCUAUGAAAAGGAAAGUGUCACAACAUGAGCAGCCCUACCCACAUUAUCUGAGCUGAGCUUCAUUCUCUGCCUAGCCACUGGAAACCUUGGGGUUAGCAGGGCAAAGACUGAAGUCACUCUGUGUGUGUCAGCUGCCACCUUGACCGGUGCCAUCGCCAGAAAGUGGACUUCAAAGGCUGCAAGGAUGAGUCAGUGCAGCCUGAUGUGCCAUGCCACAUGCUGCGGCUGAGAGCUGUGACAAACCCACGUCCUCUGAGCAUUAGGUACAAAGCGAGCCGGCCGACAGGUUAUACAUGCAUGCAUCAAAGGGAAUAAAUAUGGUAACAAAUCUCCGGCCA